CGCCAGACUCCUACGGGAGGCAGCAGUGGGGAAUAUUGCACAAUGGGGGAAACCCUGAUGCAGCGACGCCGCGUGAGCGAUGAAGUAUUUCGGUAUGUAAAGCUCUAUCAGCAGGGAAGAAGAUGACGGUACCUGACUAAGAAGCCCCGGCUAACUACGUGCCAGCAGCCGCGGUAAUACGUAGGGGGCAAGCGUUAUCCGGAUUUACUGGGUGUAAAGGGGGCGUAGACGGCAUGGCAAGUCAGAUGUGAAAGCCCGGGGCUCAACCCCGGGACUGCAUUUGAAACUGUCAGGCUGGAGUGCAGGAGAGGUAAGUGGAAUUCCUAGUGUAGCGGUGAAAUGCGUAGAUAUUAGGAGGAACACCAGUGGCGAAGGCGGCUUACUGGACUGUAACUGACGUUGAGGCUCGAAAGCGUGGGGAGCAAACAGGAUUAGAUACCCCUGUA
Molecule: ribosomal RNA, 446 nt
Filed under: uncultured bacterium
Lineage: Bacteria
Description: bacterial SSU rRNA
Rfam family: Bacterial small subunit ribosomal RNA
Source: RNAcentral